RNAcentral lists this ribosomal RNA (16 nucleotides) under Fusarium graminearum. RNAcentral's name for it is "partial 18S ribosomal RNA". The record is from RNAcentral. Lineage: Eukaryota; Fungi; Ascomycota; Sordariomycetes; Hypocreales; Nectriaceae.
AGGGAUCAUUACCGAG